UAGAAAAUCAAAUUAGGAAAA
Molecule: non-coding RNA, 21 nt
Filed under: Caenorhabditis elegans
Lineage: Eukaryota; Metazoa; Nematoda; Chromadorea; Rhabditida; Rhabditidae
Source: RNAcentral